UGAAGUCAUUGAUGCCAUGCUUCCAGGAAAAGCCUCUAAGCUUCAGAUUGUAAGGAAUCGUACCCCAAACCGACACAGGUGGUCAGGUAGAGAAUACUAAGGCGCUUGAGAGAACUCGGGUGAAGGAACUAGGCAAAAUUGUACCGUAACUUCGGGAGAAGGUACGCUCCUAUCUGUGAUGAGACUUGCUCUCUAAGCGGACGGGAGCCGCAGUGACCAGGUGGCUGGGACUGUUUAUUAAAAACACAGCACUGUGCAAAAUCGUAAGAUGACGUAUAGGGUGUGACACCUGCCCGGUGCCGGAAGGUUAAUUGAUGGGGUUAGCUUCGGCGAAGCUCUUGAUCGAAGCCCCGGUAAACGGCGGCCGUAACUAUAACGGUCCUAAGGUAGCGAAAUUCCUUGUCGGGUAAGUUCCGACCUGCACGAAUGGUGUAACCAUGGCCACGCUGUCUCCACCCGAGACUCAGUGAAAUUGAAAUCGCAGUGAAGAUGCUGUGUACCCGCGGCUAGACGGAAAGACCCCGUGAACCUUUACUACAGCUUGGCACUGAACAUUGAGCCUACAUGUGUAGGAUAGGUGGGAGGCUUUGAAGCACAGUCGCUAGAUUGUGUGGAGCCGUCCUUGAAAUACCACCCUUGUAGUGUUGAUGUUCUAACCUAGGGCCCUUAUCGGGCUUGGGGACACUGUCUGGUGGGUAGUUUGACUGGGGCGGUCUCCUCCCAAAGAGUAACGGAGGAGCACGAAGGUUGGCUAAGUACGGUCGGACAUCGUACGGUUAGUGCAAUGGCAUAAGCCAGCUUAACUGCGAGACAGACACGUCGAGCAGGUGCGAAAGCAGGUCAUAGUGAUCCGGUGGUUCUGUAUGGAAGGGCCAUCGCUCAACGGAUAAAAGGUACUCCGGGGAUAACAGGCUGAUACCGCCCAAGAGUUCAUAUCGACGGCGGUGUUUGGCACCUCGAUGUCGGCUCAUCUCAUCCUGGGGCUGGA
Molecule: ribosomal RNA, 988 nt
Filed under: Oratosquilla oratoria
Lineage: Eukaryota; Metazoa; Arthropoda; Malacostraca; Stomatopoda; Squillidae
Description: bacterial LSU rRNA
Rfam family: Bacterial large subunit ribosomal RNA
Source: RNAcentral